RNAcentral lists this ribosomal RNA (495 nucleotides) under uncultured bacterium. Its description in RNAcentral is "partial 16S ribosomal RNA". It matches the Rfam family "Bacterial small subunit ribosomal RNA", at positions 28 to 523 of the family's 1533-position model. The record is from RNAcentral.
GAUGAACGCUGGCGGCGUGCUUAACACAUGCAAGUCGAGCGAAGCACUUGGAACCGAUCCUUCGGGUGAAGUUCCAUUUGACUGAGCGGCGGACGGGUGAGUAACGCGUGGGUAACCUGCCUCAUACAGGGGAAUAACAGUUUGAAAAGACUGCUAAUGCCGCAUACGCGCACAGGGCCGCUUGGCCCGGUGUGACACACUCCGGUGGUAUGAGAUGGUCCCGCGUCUGAUUAUCUAGUUGGUGAGGUAACGGCCCACCAAGGCGACGAUCAGUAGCCGACCUGAGAGGGUGACCGGCCACAUUGGGACUGAGACACGGCCCAAACUCCUACGGGAGGCAGCAGUGGGGAAUAUUGCACAAUGGGGGAAACCCUGGUGCAGCGACGCCGCGUGGAUGAAGAAGUAUUUCGGUAUGUAAAGUCCUAUCAGCAGGGAAGAAAAUGACAGUACCUGACUAAGAAGCCCCGGCUAACUACGUGCCAGCAGCCGCCGCAG